CUGUCUAGAGUAAUAAAUCUUAUGCUAUGAGAUUUCUCCUCAAAGUCUUCUUUUAUAGCAGAAAUGGAGAACUGGAUCUGGCAAGUCACUAGAUAAUUUUCUGUCUACAACUGUGUGUGUGUGUGUGUGAGAGAGAGAGAGAGAGAGAGAGAGAGAAGGCGUGGCCACAUUCACUACCCCGGAUGGCUGACCAACAGCCAAAUACUGGCUUCAGGCCAAAUAAAUAAAUAAAAAUGAACCACCCACACUAGGACAACAAAGGCAGUUUCAGCUUCAAAACUAGACCUAAAGCCCCAUUGGAAACAGUCUAAGUAAUCAGUUCUGCCCAAUAAAAUAGAGCAAAGAACCACACAAGUGGUUGAACAAGUGAAGUCCUCCCUGCAUCAUCACAGAGAGCAAGUCUAUAGCCUCCCAAUAGCUUGUUUAAUAACACUGACAUGGGAAGGGUGGGGGUGGGGUAGGGUUCCCAUCCUAGCAGGGGGAAACGUGUAGUGAAGCCAAAACUCACAUUUAGGGGAGGCAUAGAACUGUGGGUGAAAGUGUAAGUUCCUUUUUUAAAAGUAUUAAUGUUCCUUUGGACCACAUCAGCAAGGUCGAGGAGGAGAGGAAGUCACAGCAAGGAAACACAGUGGUUUGACUUCAUCCCAUUGCUCUCCAUAGUCUCUAGCAACUUCCACAUAUUUAACUUAUGUACAGCUUUAAAGUGCUUGGCAAAUUUUUAAAAAAUGAAACAUUCAAAAGAUAGGACUAUUUGUGAUUUUCAGACGUGAUUCCUGGAACAUAAUCCUUCUGGAAGUUGAAGACUACCUGUAUAUUAGAACUGAUAUGACUUCAUGCUGGGAUAACCAUGUGCAAAACAGAACAGGAAUUGUGCAUCCAGUCAGCAGCCCUUUCCCAUCUUGUUUUGGGUGCUAUACCGCACAGCAGGUUUAGUGAGUUUCCCAGGGAGAUGCAAGGACACCCCUUCACUCCUAGUUCUUUUCCUGGUCUCUGUCCUGUUCUUGCCCUCCAACUGAAAAUGGACCCAGAGAUGGAAAGAUGCAUGUCGGGGUAUUCUGUGGUCGUUUGCUUGCUCUUCCUCUUGAAGUCUGGCUCCAGCUGGUUUCGUUGCUGGCAGAAGCCAAUAGGGAGGCAAACAGUUGAUUCCAUUGGGGGAAAAACACCUCCUCCCACCUCCAAAACUUGAACUCAAUAGGUGUGGAGGAUGGUAAGAGUGACCAAGAUGGGUUUAACUCUGCAUGUCCUCCAUUUCCAUACAUUUAUUAACAAAGCUGCAGCAAUCUCCUUUCUGUCUCAGUAGCUACUAUGGAGAAAUUAUUUUAAUGAUUGAAGUAUACCCUGUGGAAGAUUUCCCAAGUUUGUUUUGCUGCCGUGUAGAUGCCUGCAUAUGAGACUUAACAUGUGUACAUGCGCUAGCCUUGGAAGAAGACACUUUGCGUUUGCCCCUCUACCUUUUUUAAUUGUCAAGUCAGGUUUGCGGAGAAGCCGCCGCCGCCUUUUCCUCGCUGCCUCCCCCUGGGGAGGGAAAACACAUUUAGGCACAACUCGGCCUCUUCGAAAAGCCCACUGCAAACCGAAGCAUUCAUCUGGCAAUCUAGCACGAGCAAUAAAUUGGGUGGAAACAGUCAUGUGACAAAGACACAUGAGAACAGAAGCAGCAAAGCAGGCUGGGAUGUGCUGGGACUGCACAAUCAUUUGGGCCGACUAAAGUUAUUCAGACCUAACUGUUGAGUCACUUGGAUAUGUGGCUUAGUAGCCAGUUUCUCUUUGUGCUCUCUGUAAGAUUUCAGCAGUCGGUCUGCCUCAGCUGUGAGCGGAGCAGCAUGUAAUCUCAGUCAAACUGUUUGGAACCAUGUUGAUAAAUAAAUUUAUUUUAAUUCAGUAAAGAUUUUAUUCUUUAGAACUCUUUAUUAUUAAUUUACGCUGCGCGUCAGAAACCUGCAGGUGCUCUACCUGGGCCAGGUCCACGCGGCCUGUAGGCCGGUCCUUCCGAGGGCUUCUCGCCACCAGGAAGGGCGCCUGCCUGCCCUCGGCCCCUUCCCGCGUCCCGCUCGCUCCCUCGGGCUCCGCAUUCCAGGGGCAGCGCCGCUACUCCCCGCAUCCUCCGCCAACAAGAUGGAGCUUUCCUGGACGUUUCCUGUCAGCUUCGAUUCUUGCGGCAGCGGGGGGGGGGGGGGGCAAGCAAAGCAAGCGGCUUUGAUUCCGCGUUAAUCCGGAGGUGCAAAAACGGUCAUUGCGGCUCUGGAGGGCCAUGAGCUGAAUUCAGUGCCGCUGCUCAGCUGCAGCCGGGAGGAAGCGAGGCGGGCGGCGAUCCGCUUCGUCCCUCCACAGCCGGCCUCUCGCUGCUGCUGCUGCUGGCCGAGCUCCGUCGAGAGGCGGCGAAAGAGCAAGCGAGGCGGGCGAGCCACGGCGCUGCCCGCUCCGGACGCCUGGACCGGGAGCAAGCGGAGCCUUUUGCUUGCGGAAGACGCAUCCCUCGCUGCGCGUCGGCCCGCGAGCGGGAACGAGAAGCACCGCGCCCGCAGGUAAGCCUGGCCGCCGAAGGGAGGCCGGGCAGGUGGGAAAGGGCCCGGCGCGCGGCUGCAGGGGACGAAGAAGCGCCACACGCGGGGGUCUCGCGCUGGGCUCCAUCUGCUCCGGCGACCGGCGCGGUCUGGAUCCGGGCAGCGACGCGCCGGCAGGCUGCGGAGCUGGGAGGGCGGGGCGGCUCAAGCCCGGAUCCACGGUGAAGGUUUCUCCCUGGGGGCAGCCGGCUAGUCAAUGUGCGGAGGAAGUGGGAAGCUGGGGUGGGUAGGUGGAUGCGAGAGAGAGGGAGGGAGAGAGAGAGAUUUGGUGGGCAAAUAUUGCAAUUGCCUCAGGACAUGCAGAAGUGAACACUAUUGACCACAGCUAGCUGGCUGGCUGUCACAUGCUCACUGGUGGGUGUUGGCUGAGUAUUUCAGACAUUCGCAAGGAUUGUCAGUGUUCCUGUGUAAAUGUAACAUUUUGUACAUUCGUUGUAGUUGUGCGUAUGGAUGUGUACAAAUUUCUUAUAGUGACUAUACUAGCAUCUGGUGAAUUUGCUCAUAUAUGAAUGCUGAUAAUCCCAGCCACAUUUUGUGUAUAUCUGAAAACAGGUGACACUUCCCUAUUUUUCAGACGUCCCCAUGACAUGGCAAUCACACUGAGACAACAUAUAUCUUAAAUUUCCAGACAUAAAAUUUUACUGGAAUUGUCAGCAUUCACCAUUCAACAUUCACCAGAUUUCAGAGAUCUAAUUUAAUGCUGCAUGUAAAGUAGGAGAAUUAGGGCAUAUGCCAGGCUCAAUUAAGUGUUUCUAAUAAGUUAACUUUCUAAAUAAGUUAAAUGUGCUCAUGUUCUCCAACUGAAAUAAAUGCAGUGGCCCCAUGGCUAUAUUGAAUGCAUGUAAGGCAUCCCUGGCUAUAUUGAAUGCAUGUAAGGAUUUGUAAUUUCUGUAGUACAGUUGUCAACAAUAGCAGCAAAAUUUUGAAAAGAAGAUAAUUGUAGCCCUUAAUAGGAUGUAACAGCAUUCCAGACAAAGGGAAGUGCAUUAGUCUGGUCCCUUUCCAUGGUGUAUUCUUUAGCUGUUGUUCAAAUCAGUCUUGAAGAAACUUCUGCCUGCUUCAGUUUAUUUACCAGUAUUUGUCCUUGGGUGUCCUUGUACAAAGAUCCUUAGCUAGCAGUGCAAUUCUAUUUUUUGAGUUAUUACUGCAUUAAAAUCACCCAUCAGGAUAAGAGAUAGCAAAGAAUAUUGUCAUGAGUGGUGGGGAAGACGAAGUAGGCUGUAUGUGAGAUCCUUCUAACCCCUUUAGGAUUAAAAUAUAAGCCUGUCUAGCUUCCUGUGUUGAGGUGAUAGCCUGGGUGAUGAGCCAUCAAGGGAAGCAAAGCAGAGCAGGUGAGGAGAGGCUCUGUGUAAUACAGGAAAUGGGUAGGGCCCUUUCCUCCUUGGAGAUAGUUUGAAGGGCAAAGCCUGAGUUGAGAGUUUGCAGUAUUGUGACCUAGAGGAAAAGGCAGCAAGCUGGAGAAAGAGUCAGAGUAACAUUCACAGCAAUGUUUGAUUUUUGUUUAAAUUCAAGGCUGCAGCCAUGGGAGAAACAAGACCCUUUUAGGAUGUUGAUGCUCUGAAUCCCUCCAUUGCAGGCUAAGGUUGUACAUAUGUGUAAAUAUACCAUAGAUAAUAAAAACUCCACAGUCUCUGCCUCAUUUCUGAAGGAAACACGAUUCCUGAGUAAGCGCCUGGAACCCCUGAAAUCUCACACCACUCAGAGAUUGUGGUGGUGCUCUACACUGGUGUUAGCAGUGGGAUUUGUGUUUCCUGGAGGGGGGCCUGUGAGUGAGGGGUGCCAGAGUGGAGGGAGAAACAGCAAUAUUACUGGAGCAGGUCAGGUUAAUGAUCCAGCAGCAGUGAGGCCAGAUGUUUGACAAGAUGCUCCUGCAGCAAAGCCAGCAACAGAUGGAACAGCAGAACCAGUGGUUCAGUGAAAUGAAGCAAAUGCAAGCAGAGUGUGUGAGAAAACUCCUUGGAGAGAAAAGUGUGACUCCAUGCGAGGUGGGAGCCUGGCCUGAUGAGAUGCAGUUGGUAAGCUGAAGACAAUGCCUUGUAGAAGGGUGAGUUGGCUGGAGCUGCUUUGGGCUCUGACAUGUGCUCUGCCUCUGAGCUAAGACUUGUUGAAAAGGAAGCUGCUUUAGAUCAGGGCAGACCUUUUGGCUCAGUAUUGUCUUGUACUCCAGGGCGACAGGGCUCUUUCUCACCUCUAUUUGAACAUGCCAGAAAUAGACCUUUGGACCUUCUGCAGACAAAGCAUGUGCAAACCACUGAGCUGUGGCCAUGUUACACUAAGCCUUGUCUUUUGGCCGGCUCUCUCUGGAGACAGCAUUUACUUUUCCCUCACCAUCCAGAACUCCAGAUUCCCUUUGUGUCUGCUUCUUGCUCCACUGUAGCCUGUAAGAUUUGAGAGGGUAUUGUCUUGAGGCUUCGGACAAAUUGGGCUUUUUAAUAUUUUUUGCUAAUUACAUUAAGAGUAAAUGAGCUUUUAAAAAACACUAAGGAGUCUUUACAAUAUAGCAAACUGGAGCUGCCAGUCAAGCAGUGUCCCAUCUCAAUUAGACAAAUGGAAAUUAAUGUUCCAUACUUUAUUUGAAGGAACAUUUCUAACCCCUCUUACUUGAAGAAUACCCGCCUUUCAGAGCUAGGUAAAUGUUAUGAAAAGUGAGAAGAAAGCAGAUGAAAAGUAUAUGUUUUAGCUGUUUGGUGACUUUCUGGUUUCUGUUUGUUUGUUCCCACACUCUUGUUUAAAGAUUUCUUCCUUUAGCUAGAAGUGUCUAGGAUUGCCAGUUACCAAGAUUUGUAAUUAAAUGUAUGUUUCACCUUACUCCCUUAGAUGCUUAGGUUGCUUUCCUUCUUUCUGGAAAAUGCCUUUCCCCAUGCAAGUCAAGGUUAUUAAAUGACCUGCCUCCAUUCUCGGUAAAUCAUAACCGUGGCCUAUGUAAAUCCACCUCUUUUGUAAAGCCACUUAUUUAUUUUCAUUUAUUGAUUUCAGCUUUUUUAUGCCACUUAAUUGCUGAAGUUUCUAGGUAGCGUACAAAAAGAUUGCAUGAAGUUUUCUAUUAAUAAAAACAGAAAAUGUACCUGGCCUAUGUAAAUCCACCUCUUUUGUAAAGCCACUUAUUUAUUUUCAUUUAUUUAUUUAUUUCAGCUUUUUUACGCCACUUAAUUGCUGAAGUUUCUAGGUAGUAUACAAAAAGAUUGCAUGAAGUUUUCUGUUAAUAAAAACAGAAAAUGUACCAGCUGAAAUAGAAGGAUCUUCAUCGUUGCUUAUUGUUGAUUGUUUCCCCUCCCAGUGUUGGUUUGAGUUUGUAAUUUGGUUAAAAGGGAAAAAUACUGAAUAUGGUAAAAUAAUAAAAAUGUUGUUAGCUAUUCCUUUCAGCUUUCUGUCUCCAGAUUUGAUAAGCACCCCCUUUAGACCCUCUGUUCGUAUGGAAAGCGGGGAAAUAGGUAUGGUAAAAAGGAGGAUUCCCUGGAUGCAAUGCUUAGAUCCAGGAUUGAGGCAAGUACUCUUUGGUGAGAGAGCCCCAGCAUAGAUUUGAACUCACAAAAAAUGCUGCGAAGUAAAGCAUGGAAAUAUAGGCUGUUAGACCUUUAAAAUAUCUCUGUCUAAGUUUCUUCCAAAGCUCCCCUCUUUCCAUAGCAUAGAAAGAGACCCCACAUUUGGUAAGUUAGAAAUGGUUUACUUACAAAUUCUUCAAAGGGCAGAUUCAUAUGCUUUUCUAUACACCAGAAAGAAAAGACAGGCAAUGCAUCUUAGUUUCAAAAAUGGUAACAGUUUCUAAAUUAUUUGUAUAGAAACACAAAGAUGACUUGCUGAAGCCACACAGUCUAAGCUUGGAGCAUCCAGCACAGACAUCCUUACUGGUCAGGUUCACAUAGUGCAGACUGUUAGUAUUUCAUGUAUCUGAUCCUGCAGAUACGAUUGGUGUAAUUCACAUGCCUGUCUGGGAAGACUGUGGGAACGGAAGACAGCCUUAUCUCUCUUCCAUUGUCUGUACUGUUGGACUGUACUUUUGCUUUUACUUUGUUCUGUUUUCUCGCAGAGCUGAUGAGAGAGGACGCCAUGAUGCUUUGUCUGUACAUAGUGUGUACGUAAAUACGUAGAUUAGCUCUAUGGUGUCUCACACUUCUUGCUGUGUAAUGCUAGAAGAUUAGUGUUCAUAUAUGUGGGAUGUGAAACACAGAGCAGUCAAGUACAACAUCCCUAGAGUGGACAUAAAACGGGGGUGUCUGGACCAGCCAGUUGGAUUUUCCUGUUUCCUCCUAGGCUGGGACAGACUUCCUCUACAUGUGACCAGAGGUGGGCGUGACCUCACCUAUGCAGGUAACAAAAUACCUUAGCGGAGGUCGCCAUCCUUCUCUGUGACUACAUUCAUCGAAGAAGCAACAUCUGCUUAGCCUAAGAUGCUCUCUUGGCUUCCAGCCAAGAGAGGACAAAGGAGCUGUCUGCUUAUGGGAUAGUUUCCAGGUGUAUAUUACUUUUGUAACUUAAGUGUGCCUUUUGGGAUCCAUUUGUGAACAGAAUGUGUGAGUAAACUCUUUUUAUACUUUUAUAGAAGACUGUGUUGUGUCUAUAUUUUUAUGAGGGACUAAAGGGGAAAUUACCAAACGAAACUUAUUUUAGAGGCUUUAGUGAGCCUGAGCAAACGCAUCCGCUGUGCAAGUUCAAAAAGGGGAAUUUUACUCUGCUAAAUUGUAGAACUUGUUAACACAAGUUGGAAAGGAUAUAAUCAAACAAUAUAUCCUCUCCUGCAUCCCUGAACAAUCCCACAAUAUACCAUCUGGUAUAUGUCACUGGGCGCAAUGGAGAAGAAGGGAAAUGCCUUUUCCAGAGCUGCGCAUACCGGAGGACACUCAGACAGUGGGGGCUGCAGGAGCACCCCAGGGCGUUUUCCGGCGUGUUGAUCGCAAUCGACUGGUCAAUCACCGGAUGGAUUUUGGUUGAUCGCACUAUGGCCAGGCAGGCUUUGCUCCUCCCUCACAGCUGGGGCUCAGCUGUGGGAGGGAGGGAACUGCACCUCCACUUUCGCCAUCCCGUGAGCUCCAGAACGCGGGCCUCUCUCUUCGCUCUACUAAGGAAGCCACCCUCGGCUGGGCAGCCGUCACUGGGUGUUGCAUGGCCAUGCUCAUGCGGCUGGGAGAGGGUGCAGCGGUCCCCAAAGGAAAGUGGGGUGCAGGGUUGUGAGGCUGGAUAAAAGGAGAGCCCCUUUCCUUCCUCUUCCAUACAGAGCAGCCUGUGGCUUAAUCAGCUGUAGCCUCUGUUUGGGCAUUACGUGGAAGAAGGCGAUGGAAUCGAACGCAAAUCCAUGCUAAGGAAAGAAAGGGGUUUUUCCUGGUCACCAACAAUGCCUUACACCUCGCCCCUAAAGUGAAGAAGUUGAAGAAGGACAAUGGGAGAGUGUUCCAGUUUUUGAUACUGGAUAGUAAAUCACAGCCUGCUUGAAGUUGGACAUGCCUGAUAGUGGAUGAAAAAAGUUUGGUAACUCUUCCUCCAAAGGUGAGGGUCAGUGGUCUAGCUAAGCCUUGCAGGACAGUUUUCUUUUUGGUCUUAACCCCUACAUGCAUUAAUUAGAGUUAAGCUUAUUGGUUAUAUGAGGCUGAUUUAUCCCACACCCAGUGCAUAUUAUCUGUCAAGCAAAUAUUCACAAGCUACAUCUUUUUGUUGCUGUGAGUUGGCAUUAUUUUUUGGUGGUGGUGCUUUGUGUGUGUGUGUCAUGCAAAACUUAAAAACGUAAAACUU
RNAcentral lists this long non-coding RNA (8288 nucleotides) under Podarcis lilfordi (Lilford's wall lizard). Lineage: Eukaryota; Metazoa; Chordata; Lepidosauria; Squamata; Lacertidae. The record is from RNAcentral.